RNAcentral lists this ribosomal RNA (506 nucleotides) under uncultured bacterium. RNAcentral's name for it is "bacterial SSU rRNA". It matches the Rfam family "Bacterial small subunit ribosomal RNA", at positions 16 to 507 of the family's 1533-position model. The record is from RNAcentral.
AUCCUGGCUCAGGAUGAACGCUAGCUACAGGCUUAACACAUGCAAGUCGAGGGGAAACGAUAUUGGAAGCUUGCUUCCGAUAGGCGUCGACCGGCGCACGGGUGAGUAACGCGUAUCCAACCUGCCCAUCACUUGGGGAUAACCUUGCGAAAGUAAGACUAAUACCCAAUGACGUCUCUAGAAGACAUCUGAAGGAGAUUAAAAGAUUUUAUCGGUGAUGGAUGGGGAUGCGUCUGAUUAGCUUGUUGGCGGGGUAACGGCCCACCAAGGCGACGAUCAGUAGGGGUUCUGAGAGGAAGGUCCCCCACAUUGGAACUGAGACACGGUCCAAACUCCUACGGGAGGCAGCAGUGAGGAAUAUUGGUCAAUGGGCGAGAGCCUGAACCAGCCAAGUAGCGUGCAGGAUGACGGCCCUAUGGGUUGUAAACUGCUUUUAUAAGGGAAUAAGGUGAGUCUCGUGAGACUUUUUGCAUGUACCUUAUGAAUAAGGACCGGCUAAUUCCGUG